UACGGAGGGUGCAAGCGUUAUCCGGAUUCACUGGGUUUAAAGGGUGCGUAGGUGGGUUGGUAAGUCAGUGGUGAGAUCCCCGAGCUUAACUUGGGAACUGCCAUUGAUACUAUCAGUCUUGAAUACCGUGGAGGUCAGCGGAAUAUGUCAUGUAGCGGUGAAAUGCUUAGAUAUGACAUAGAACACCAAUUGCGAAGGCAGCUGACUACACGAAUAUUGACACUGAGGCACGAAAGCGUGGGGAUCAAACAGG
Molecule: ribosomal RNA, 253 nt
Filed under: uncultured bacterium
Lineage: Bacteria
Description: partial 16S ribosomal RNA
Rfam family: Bacterial small subunit ribosomal RNA
Source: RNAcentral